RNAcentral lists this ribosomal RNA (684 nucleotides) under Diplomitoporus rimosus. RNAcentral's name for it is "eukaryotic LSU rRNA". The stretch from base 201 to 354 matches the Rfam family "5.8S ribosomal RNA". Lineage: Eukaryota; Fungi; Basidiomycota; Agaricomycetes; Polyporales; Climacocystaceae. The record is from RNAcentral.
AGGAUCAUUAUCGAGUUUGAAGUGGGCUUGAUGCUGGCGUCUCUCCAGACGCAUGUGCUCAGCCCCGCUCAUCCACUCAACCCCUGUGCACUUCGUCGGAGUCAAUGGGUCGAUUUGCGGCCUUUGGCUUUGACUUAUCAUUAUAAACGCUUUACUUGUUAUGUAGAAUGUAAUGCCUCUUGUUGGGCGAAAUUAAAUACAACUUUCAACAACGGAUCUCUUGGCUCUCGCAUCGAUGAAGAACGCAGCGAAAUGCGAUAAGUAAUGUGAAUUGCAGAAUUCAGUGAAUCAUCGAAUCUUUGAACGCACCUUGCGCUCCUUGGCAUUCCGAGGAGCAUGCCUGUUUGAGUGUCAUGUUAAUCUCAAUCCCCUGGGUUUGUUAUGAACUCUUGAGAUUGGACUUGGAGGUACUGCUGGCUUCACCGUCGGCUCCUCUUGAAUGUAUUAGCUGGGCCUUUAGCCUCGCGCUCGUGGUGUGAUAGUUUAUUCACCUUGAGUGUGGCUUGUAUGGUCUGCUUCUAAUCGUCUUAAUAGACAAUACCUUGACUCUCUGACCUCAAAUCAGGUAGGACUACCCGCUGAACUUAAGCAUAUCAAUAAGCGGAGGAAAAGAAACUAACAAGGAUUCCCCUAGUAACUGCGAGUGAAGCGGGAAGAGCUCAAAUUUAAAAGCUGGUAGCUUUG